RNAcentral lists this long non-coding RNA (5436 nucleotides) under Marmota monax (woodchuck). Lineage: Eukaryota; Metazoa; Chordata; Mammalia; Rodentia; Sciuridae. The record is from RNAcentral.
GGGCCUUCUCGGUUCAAUGGUUCACUGUCAGGAACAGUUUGUAUUUUAAGGUUUCCCUUCAUUAUGGCUUAUUGAUGUGAAUGAAAAUUGAGCUGGAAAUCCAACAUGGUUGGCAGGAGGUGUUUGAAACUUCACACAGUCAGUUCUCAGUGUUCACUCUCAGUUUCUUUCUUUUGAAGGUAGGCCAAAAUGAAGCAUGCAAAAGAAACUGUAUCCAAGAGCCCUUAAGGAGAAAACAGUGAAACAUGUAUGUACUGAAAUAAGUCUCCCAAAAAUUUGAUCAGAUAUCUUUGAUACUACAUGGUAUUCAUCUUUUAGCUUGUUGCACUAGGCUCCCCAAGGUUGGCACUUCUAGGAUCAAUGGUUCUCUAAACAGAUAAUGGUUAGUGUUACAGUUACCGUUAGGGCUAGCUUUAGAGCUAGUGUUAGGGUUAGAGUUUGUUUUGUUCAAAUUUCUUUGAUACUGGGAAGAUUUAUCUUUACCUAUCCUACUAUGUCCCCCAGUUUUGGGCCUUCUUGGUUUAAUGGUUCACUGUUUGGAAUAGUUUGUUUUUAAUGUCUCACUUCAUUUUGACCUAUAUGGGUAAAUGCAAAUGAAGCUGGAAAUCAGAGGUUUGGUGCUAGCUGGUUGAAACUUUACAUUCUCAAUCAGUUGUCUGUGGGCACUCUCUGGUUUCUUCCUUGUAAAAUAGCCAUAAGCUGAAGCAUGUAUAAAAACUUUAUCCAAGAGUACUUUAGGAGAAAACAGGGCAAUAUGCAUGUACUGAAAUACCUCCCCCAAUUAUUUGGUUAGAUUUCUUUGAUACUGUGCAGGACUCAUCUGUAAGCUUCCCUACUAGUCUCCCCAAGUUUUAAAAUUUUUUGAUCAAAGCUUCUCUUUACAGGUUAGGCUUAGGGUUAUGGUUAGAGUUAGGGCAAGUGUUAGCACUAGUUUUAGGGUUAGAGUAAGUUUUUUUUCAAUUUAUUGGAUACUGGAUAGCAUUUACAUUUUUCCUAUUCUUAGUAUGCUCCGCAUGUGUGGGACUCCUAGGUAAAAGGGUUUGAUCUCAGAAGCAGUUUUAAUUUUCAUGUUUCACUUCAUUUUGCCCUAUAGGGGUGAAUGGAAAUGGAGCUGGAUUCAAACAGGGUUUGUGCUAGCUGCUUGAAACUUCACACACUCAAUCAGAUCUCAGUGCACAUUCUCUCAUUUGUUUCCUGUGAUAGUAGCCCAAAGCUGAAUUAGAAAGAAUCAGCUUUAUCUGUGAGCACUUUAGGAGCAAGCUUCAAUUUUUUUGCAUCUAUUACACUGAUAUUGAACAGUAUUCAUCCAUUUUCUAGUCUUAGUAGGAUCCUCAUGUCUGGGUUUUCAAGGCUUGCCAGUUCACUGUCAGGAAGAGUUUAAAUUUUUAGGUUUCACUUUAUUGUGUCCGACAGACAUGAAAGAAAAUGGAGCUGGAAACCAAACAGAGUUAGUACUAGUUGCUUGAAACUACACACACUGAAUCUGCUCUCUGUGGGCAGUCUCUGGUUGUUUCUUGUGAAAGUGCCUUAAACUGAAGCAUGAAAAAUAAUUUAUCCAAUAGCACAUUAGGAGAAAACAGGGAAAUAUACACUUAAUGAUAUACCUGCCCCAAUUAUUUGGUCAGAUUUCUUUGAUACUGCACAGGAUUCAUCUGUUAGCUUGCCCCACUGGGCUCCAUUAUUCGGGGACUACUCUGAUCAAUGGUUUCCUAAACAGGUUAGGUUAGACUUAGUAUUAGAUUAGGGCUAGGGUUAUAGAUAGUGUUUGUUAGAUUUUGUUUUGUUCAAAUUUCUUUGAUACUGGGCAGGAUUCACCUUUUACCUAGGAUUACUAUGUUAUCUAGGUUUGGGCCUCUUGGGUCAAGGGUUUGCUCUCCAGAACAGUUUGUAUUUUAAGUUUUCAUUUCAUUUUGACCUAUGCAUGUAAAUGGAAAUGGAGCUGUAAAUCCAACAUUGUUGGUGCUAGCUAAUUCAAACCUCACACACUCAAUCAGUUUUCUAUGGGCAUUCUCUGGUCUAUUUCUUGUAAAAGUGGCCCUAAGCUGAAGCAUGCUAAGCCACUUUAUGUGAGAGCACUGUAGGAUAAAGCAGGACAAUAUGCAUGUACUGAAAUACCUCCCCAAUUAUUUGGUCAGAUUUCUUUGAUAGUGUGAAAGAUUCAUCUGUUAGCCUACCCAAAUUGGAUCCCCAAUGUGGGACAUCUAGGAUCAAAGGGACUCUAAACAGGUUAAGGUUAAUUUUGUUUUCAAACUUCUAUGAUACUGUGCAGGUUUCAUCUUUUUUCCUAUUUUGAAUGUACUCCUAAUAUUUGGGCCUCCUACAUACAGGGUUUGCCUUCAGGAACAGUUUCAAAUUCAUUUUUCUCUUCUUUUUGCCCUAUAGGGGUGAAUGGAAAUGAAGCUCUUAAUUGAACAGGGUUUGGGCUAGCUGCUUGAAACUUCACAUACUCCAUCAAUUUUCAGUGAUCUUAAUCUGGUGUUUACCAUGGAAGUGGCCCUAAGAUGAAGUAGAAAUUAACAGUUUUAUCUCUGAGUGCUUUAGGAACAAGCACAAUACCCAUGUACUGAAAUAGCUUCACAUUUUUGUUGGUUGGAUUAAUUUGAUACUGUACAGGAUUCAUCCUUGACCUAGCCUUAGUAGGCUCCACCAGUUUGGGCCUCCAAGUUUCAAUGGUUCAGUGUCAGAAACAGUUUGAAUUUUUAGGAUUCACUUCAUUAUGGCCUAUAGUUGUGAAUGCAAUGGAGCUAGAAAUAAAACAUUGUUGGUGCUAGCUGCAUGAAACUUUGAACACCCAGUUAGUUCUCUGUUGGCACUGUUUGGUUUUUCUUUGUGAAAGUAUCUUAAGCUGAAGCAAGAAAAACAAUUUAUCCAUGAGCACUUUAAGAAAAAAACCGGAAAAUAUGAAUGUACUUCAUAUGAACACCUACCCCUAACCCUAACCCUAAAAGUAGCCCUAAUCACAACUCUAGUUCUUAUGUUAGUUGUACCCUUAAUCCUAGCCCUAACCUAGGGUUAGUGUUAGGGCUAGGCCUAACAUGGGGCUAGGCCUAACCCAAAACCUAGCACUAAUCUGAGCCCUACACGUGUUUUAAUCCUAACACUAACCAGAGCCCUAACCAUUAACCUAAACCAAACCCUAACUUUGAAACUUGCCCUAACCCUAAACCUAACCCUAUCCUUAAUCCUAACCAUAAUCCUAGACCUAACCCUAGCUCUAACUCUAUCCAUUACCCUAACCAUAACCCUAACCUUGGUGCUAAUUUUAGGAUAACCCUAAUUCUAUCUCUAACCCUAACUUUGUCCAUUAUCCUAAACCUAACCUGAAACAUAAACCUAAACAUAAACAUUACCCUUACAUUAAUACUAAACCUAAUGCUAAAGAAAGCCCUGAUCCUAAACUUAACCUAACUCAAACAUUAAUCAUGAUAGUAACCCUAAUAAUAACCCUAUCUCUAAACCUGACCCUAACCCUCAACCUUAACCUUACACUAGAACUAGCCAUAAACCUAACCCUAAAACUAACCAUAAACAUAAAGCUAGACCUGACAUUAGCCCUAGCACUAAUUCUAACACUAACCCUAACACAAAACCGAACCCUAAUCCUAGCCCUAAACCUACCCCUAAUCCUCUCCCGAAACCUAGCCUUCCUACCAACCCUAAACAUAACCCUCGCCAUAACCCUAUUUUGUACCUUGCCCUAAACCUAGCUCUAAUAUAAUACCUUACAUUAAUCCUAACCCUAACCCUAGACCUAAACGUAGGCCUAGCCCUAACACUAACCCUAGCGCUGAUCUUAGCACAAAUUUAGUCCUAAACCUAACCCUAACUGUAACCCUAACCCUAACUCUCACCCUAGCACUAACCCUAGUUCUAAAUCUAUCCCUUACCAUAACACAAACCUUAGACCUAAACCUAGCCCCAAACCCAUUCCUACUUUUGGCCUAGCCCUAUACCUAGAACUAACCCUAACCUCAAUCAAAUGCUAACCCUAAGUCUAAACCUCACCCUAACACUAGCCCUAACCCUAAUGCUAAUUGGAAAACUAGACUAACCCUAGUCCCAGCACUCAAACAAAACCGAGUCAUAGGCUUAACGCUAAUUCUUAACCUAAACUAAAACUUAAGCUUAUACCUAGCCCUAACCCUGGCCCUAAUUUGAGUCCUAACCCUAACUUUAGAAUUUACUCUUACCGUGACUCAGACCCUAACAAUAAACCCAGGCUCAUCACAAUAACAGUAAACUUAACCAGAACACUAAACCUAGCCCUACACCUAACCCUAAAACUAGCCCUAAUCGUACCACCAGUUCUUCCAUUAGCCAUAGCCCUGUGCUAAAAGAAAAGCUAGCUCUAAUCUGAGACCAAAUCCUAGCUUUAAACCUAACCCUAAAAAAAACCUAGAAUUAUACCUAACCCUAGCUCUAACCCUAUCCCUUACCCUAAGACAAACCUUCACCCUAAUGCUACCCUAGUCCUAUCAUUAAUCUUUAGCCUACCCCAAACCAUAACACUAUUACUAGUUCUAACCCUAGCCCACAUUCUAGCUCUAACCCUAACCCAAAUCCUAACCCUAACCCUGACCCUUAAUCUGACCCUAACUCUAAGCCCAGGAUUAAACCUGACCCUAACCCUAAUCUGAACCCUAACACUAGCUCUAUGGGAAACCCUAUACCUAAACCUAACCCUAACACUCGACCUAGACAAAAACCUAAUCCUAAAUCUAGCCAUAACUCUAGCUCUAGACCUAAACAAAAACCUAGCCUUAGCCCUCACAAUAACCCUUAACAUAACCAAACACUACCUCUACAUCUAGACAUAAACUUAGUCCUAAUUCUGGCCAUAACCCUAACCCAAACACUGUCCCUUUCUGUAACAAUAAUCCUAGAUCUAAACUUUAUGUUAACCACAAAUCUAGCCAUAACACUAAAAAUAGACCUAGCUAUAACCCUAACUCUAGGUCUUACAUUAAUAUAACCCUAAUAUUUGCCCCAAACCUCACACAAAACCUAUCUCCAAGCAUAAUCGUAACCCUAACCCUAGACCUGACCUAACCCUAGCCCUUGCCUUAACCCUAACCUUAGCUCAAACACUAACCCUUGCCCAAAUAUAAAUCUAGACCUAACCCUAAACCUAACCCUAACCCUAGUCCUAAUCCUUACUAUAACCAAGGCGAAACCCUAGUUCUAACUCUAUCCAUUAUCCUAAACACAACCCUAACCCUAAUGCUAAACCUAGGUCUAACUUAACCCUAAACACAAUCCUAACCCUUUUGAUAAACCUAGCUCUAACUUAACCCUGGAUGUCACACUAACCCUAACCAUUGCCCUAGCCCUAUCCAUAGCUCAAACCCUAACACUUACCCUAAAUCUAACCCUAACACUAACCCUAGGCUUAACCCUAACCAUAACCCUAGCCCUAAUCCUAACCAUAACCCAAAC